RNAcentral lists this ribosomal RNA (486 nucleotides) under uncultured bacterium. RNAcentral's name for it is "partial 16S ribosomal RNA". It matches the Rfam family "Bacterial small subunit ribosomal RNA", at positions 30 to 507 of the family's 1533-position model. The record is from RNAcentral.
AUUGAACGCUGGCGGCAUGCCUUACACAUGCAAGUCGAACGGCAGCACGGGUGCUUGCACCUGGUGGCGAGUGGCGAACGGGUGAGUAAUACAUCGGAACAUGUCCUGUAGUGGGGGAUAGCCCGGCGAAAGCCGGAUUAAUACCGCAUACGAUCUACGGAUGAAAGCGGGGGACCUUCGGGCCUCGCGCUAUAGGGUUGGCCGAUGGCUGAUUAGCUAAUUGGUGGGGUAAAGGCCUACCAAGGCGACGAUCAGUAGCUGGUCUGAGAGGACGACCAGCCACACUGGGACUGAGACACGGCCCAGACUCCUACGGGAGGCAGCAGUGGGGAAUUUUGGACAAUGGGCGAAAGCCUGAUCCAGCAAUGCCGCGUGUGUGAAGAAGGCCUUCGGGUUGUAAAGCACUUUUGUCCGGAAAGAAAUCCUUGGCCCUAAUACGGUCGGGGGAUGACGGUACCGGAAGAAUAAGCACCGGCUAACUACGUG